GAUUAAUCACUUACCUUUCUCCAGCGCUGGGCUCCCUCGGCGCUGGGGAAAUCUCCUCAGUCUUCCGACGUCAGCGCUGAAUGCGCAUGUGCGGCAAGAGCCGCACGCAUUCAAUCAGUCCAUAGGAAAACAUUUCUCAAUGCUUUCCUAUGGACAUCAGCUUCCUAUGGCGGAAGCGCCUCUAGCGGCUGUCAAUGAGACAGCCACUAGAGGCUAGAUUAACCCUAUUG
Non-coding RNA from Pelobates cultripes (western spadefoot toad), 230 nucleotides. Lineage: Eukaryota; Metazoa; Chordata; Amphibia; Anura; Pelobatidae. The record is from the annotation of a GenBank genome assembly.